ACUUGCCUGGCUCAGUCAGUAGAGCAUGUGACUCUUGCUCUCAAGGUCAUGAGUUUGAGCCCCAUGGUGGGUG
RNAcentral lists this transfer RNA (73 nucleotides) under Canis lupus familiaris (dog). It matches the Rfam family "tRNA". From Rfam's summary of the family: Transfer RNA (tRNA) molecules are approximately 80 nucleotides in length. Their secondary structure includes four short double-helical elements and three loops (D, anti-codon, and T loops). RNAcentral also lists the same sequence under 3 other names. Lineage: Eukaryota; Metazoa; Chordata; Mammalia; Carnivora; Canidae. The record is from Rfam by way of RNAcentral.